GAUGAACGCUGGCGGCGUGCCUAAUACAUGCAAGUCGAGCGAACGGACGAGAAGCUUGCUUCUCUGAUGUUAGCGGCGGACGUGUGAGUAACACGUGGAUAACCUACCUAUAAGACUGGGAUAACUUCGGGAAACCGGAGCUAAUACCAGAUGAUAUUUUGAACCGCAGGGUUCAAAAGUGAAAGACGGUGUUGCGGUCACUUAUCGAUGGAUCCGCGCUGUAUUAGCUGGUUGGUAAGGUAACGGCUUACGAAGGCAACGAGGCAUAGGCGACCUGCGAGAGUGGUCGGCCACACUGGAACUGAGACACGGUCCUGACUCCUACGGGAGGCAGCAGUAGGGAAUCUUACGCAGUGGGCGAAAGCCUGGCGGAGCAACGCGGAGUGAGUGAUGACGGUCUUCGGAUCGUAAAACUCUGUUAUUAGGGAAGAACAUAUGUGUAAGUAACUGUGCACAUCUUGACGGUAACUAAUCAGAAAGCCACGGCUAACUACGUG
Molecule: ribosomal RNA, 497 nt
Filed under: uncultured bacterium
Lineage: Bacteria
Description: partial 16S ribosomal RNA
Rfam family: Bacterial small subunit ribosomal RNA
Source: RNAcentral